This 495-nucleotide long non-coding RNA is filed under the name Gallus gallus (chicken). Lineage: Eukaryota; Metazoa; Chordata; Aves; Galliformes; Phasianidae. The record is from RNAcentral.
UGGGGAUUGCUCACCACCUGGAACGAGCUGCGAAUCAGCUCCUGGCUGAAGUCUACCAUGGAACCUUUCACAAAGGCCAGGCUGUCCACAUCCACAACUACACGGGCACCACCUUGUUCAAACACCCUGUCGUCAGGAUUGAUAACUGUGUCCAAAGAAAACUUGUACUGGAACCCAGAGCAACCACCUCCUUCCACCUGCAGCCUGAGAAACUCUGAUCCUUCUGCAAUCUCCAGCAGCCUCUUCACGCAGCUCUCGCUGAGGUAGACCUGUCCCUCACUAGAGUCGCUCUCCGUCGGUCCCGGCUGGGAGGAGGACGACGCCCAGCGCAGCGAGCGGCCCAGCGCGCAGGCCGCGGCCGGCGGGGGGCCGAGCGGCGCUCGUCCUCUGCGCGACGGAGCAGAACACCAACUGCUGACCCGACUGCCCCACGCCAACCACCAACAGCGCCUCAGCGCCGCCAUCUUGCCUCUCGCCGCCUCCCCAGCGCUCCGC